GCAAGUCGAACGCCCUCUUCGGAGGGAGUGGCAGACGGGUGAGUAACGCGUGGGAAUCUACCCAGUACUUCGGGAUAACAGUUAGAAAUGACUGCUAAUACCGGAUACGCCCUAUGGGGGAAAGAUUUAUCGGUAUUGGAUGAGCCCGCGUUUGAUUAGCUAGUUGGUGAGGUAAUGGCUCACCAAGGCGACGAUCAGUAUCUGGUUUGAGAGGACGAUC
This 220-nucleotide ribosomal RNA is filed under the name uncultured bacterium. RNAcentral describes it as "partial 16S ribosomal RNA". It matches the Rfam family "Bacterial small subunit ribosomal RNA", at positions 57 to 305 of the family's 1533-position model. The record is from RNAcentral.